Podarcis raffonei (Aeolian wall lizard) is the source of this 1144-nucleotide long non-coding RNA. RefSeq lists it as uncharacterized. The transcript has 2 exons. The record is from RefSeq and is a predicted model, not a curated record. NCBI's taxonomy places the organism in Eukaryota, Metazoa, Chordata, Lepidosauria, Squamata, Lacertidae.
UACCUUGGGUCAAAGCAAUAGGACUUUUUUGUCCAAAGGCUUCUGGUUAACUUGUAAAGGUGUGAUCUAGGUUAUAGAGAUGGCCAGUUCCAUAUUCUACAGCUCUGUGGAAGGCUGGUUCUAAAAAAAACUGAAAUUGCCACCUAAAAUUUGCAGUCUGAAAUAUUGCUUCCAGUAUUGCCCGAAUGAGGAAAAAACACAGCCUAUUUAUACACAGAUAUGAAAGGGCAGACUGCUUCCCAAUGCAUGUCUAGGCACUGACAACCACUUUUCCUCAUUAUGAGGAACAUCAUUAUGAUGUUUAUUUCUAUCUUAAGGGAUGCAGUCUUCUCCUAUUUAAUAGCAUGUGGAAGCUACAGCUAUCCAUUAACAGUAUAUGGAUUUAUCCAUUUAGCAGUACAUGUCUACCCAGAUGUUAAAUUACAUAUAUCCACUGCUCUCAGUGGGACUUACUCCCGGGUGAGCAUUACAGAAUUACAGUAUCAAUGCAUCGAGACAAAAAAAGUAUCAUACUGCUGUACAGCUUCUCCCUUGAACUCCACCUGUAUCAAGUUAUGGUACAACACAUAAUCAGUGAGUUGCCGACUGCAGUGUCAUAUUUCUUCAGCAGUAUCCACCCACUACGUCUUCAGUAUGAGUUAAUAAGCCAGUGUAUUACCCAAUUAUGGAAAUGAAUGGCAAAUUAGUCAAAACAUCUGGCUCCUUACAAAUCCUUUCACUGCUGGGGAUUGUGAAGGUGGUGGUGGGGAGAACAUUUAUUAAGAAGAGGAACAGAGUACUGUGUAGUUGAAUUACUCUAGGAGGCCAGUAAAGGAAGAGGAAGAAUGAAGGAGGGCUGACUCAUGAUUACUGCUCCUUACUGAAGUAUUUCACUGGGGAUUUAAUACAGAAAGUUUUUCUGUUUUCUCUGCAGACCUCAGCAAGGCUUGUUUGCCCCUCACCACCCAUAAAAGAAGGAAGAAUAUGAACAGGAAUCUAUCUGUUUCAAAAUGGUGUCAGGCUGAAGCAUGUAUCAGGACACAACAUCAUUGUCUUGUCAUCAUUAGUGGUAAUGAGAGAUUUCCUCCUAAUACAAAUGCCAGGAUUUUCAUCAAGUCCAAAGGAAGAGAAGGAAAGGGUUAAUUUAAAAAAAACAACCACCCCA